Pieris brassicae (large cabbage white) is the source of this 280-nucleotide long non-coding RNA. RefSeq lists it as uncharacterized. Lineage: Eukaryota; Metazoa; Arthropoda; Insecta; Lepidoptera; Pieridae. The transcript is spliced from 2 exons. The record is from RefSeq and is a predicted model, not a curated record.
GACUAUUCAAAUCGAACAUGUGGGUUGUAUUGAUCUACUGAACGAGUAGCCUAUUGUAUUUAUGAGUAAGCGUUCUUCAGUAUAUGUAAUAGGCACAGUUUUAAAAUGAGAUUUAAAAAAUUUGCGUUAACUUCAUAUGUAUAAGUGAAAUCCGAAGUGCGGUGGCAGUGUUAUAUCCAAAAAGUUAAUAAAACGAAAAAAAUGUGGACUUGUCCCAGAAGCAGUAGUUAAACUAAGCAUUUCCUGUACUAUUAUUGGCCAAAUAAAAAGCUUUAAACUA